UCCCUCAUAGCUUAAUUGGUAAAGAAUCUACCUGCAGUGCAGGAGGCCCUGGUUCAAUUCCUGGGUUGGGAA
Molecule: transfer RNA, 72 nt
Filed under: Ovis aries (sheep)
Lineage: Eukaryota; Metazoa; Chordata; Mammalia; Artiodactyla; Bovidae
Rfam family: tRNA
About the family: Transfer RNA (tRNA) molecules are approximately 80 nucleotides in length. Their secondary structure includes four short double-helical elements and three loops (D, anti-codon, and T loops). Further hydrogen bonds mediate the characteristic L-shaped molecular structure. tRNAs have two regions of fundamental functional importance: the anti-codon, which is responsible for specific mRNA codon recognition, and the 3' end, to which the tRNAs corresponding amino acid is attached (by aminoacyl-tRNA synthetases). tRNAs cope with the degeneracy of the genetic code in two manners: having more than one tRNA (with a specific anti-codon) for a particular amino acid; and 'wobble' base-pairing, i.e. permitting non-standard base-pairing at the 3rd anti-codon position.
Source: Rfam by way of RNAcentral